GCAUAUUAGAUUGUCAGCGUUCGAAGUAUUGAGCGUAACUUUUUCACACGGUUUCCAUUUUGGGCCCAUAAGUACUUUUCGAAAAUGUAGCGACCGUUUGGGAUUGAACUCACGGCAUCGUCAUGAUGUAAGAGCAAUUUCGACCAUUUUUCUUUCGAAGAACGAGCACUUACAUAUUUGGAUUGUCGGCGUUCGAAGAAUUAAGCGUAACUUUCGCAUACGAUUUUUGUUUUGGGGCCAUAAGUACUUUUCAAAAAUGUAGCGACCGUUUUGGAUUGAACUCACGGCAUCAUCGUGACGUAAGAGGAAUUUCGGCCAUUUGUUUUUUGAAGAACGAGCACUUGCAUAUUUGGAUUGUUGAGGUUCUAAGAAUUGAGCGUAACUUUUGCAAACGGUUUCUGAUUUGGGCCCAUAAGUACAUUUUGAAAAUGUAGCGACCGUUUUGGAUUGAGCUCACAGCACCAUCGUGAUGUAAGAGGGAUUUCGACCGUUUGUUUUCUCAUGAACGAGCAUUUGCUUAUUUGGAUUGUUGGCAUUCGAAGAAUUGAGCAUAGCUUUUGCACACGAUUUCUGUUUUGGCCCCAUAAGUACUUUUCAGAAAUGUAGCGACCGUUUUGGAUUGAACUCAUGCCAUCAUCAUGACGUAAGAGGGAUUUGGGCCAUUUGUUUUUUGAAGAACAAGCACUUGCAUAUUUGGAUUGUCGGUGUUCGAAGAAUUGAGCGUAACUUUUGUACAUGGUGUCCGUUUUGGGCCCAUAAGUACUUUUCAUAAAUGUAGCGAUCGUUUUGGAUUGAACUCACCGCUUUGCUAUGACGUAUGAGGGAUUUCAGGUUUUUUUUUGAAGAACGAGCACUUGCAUAUUUGGAUUGUCGGUGUUCGAAAAAUUGAGCGUAACUUUUGCACACAGUGUUCGUUUUGGGCCCAUUAGUACUUUUCGGAAGUAUAGGGACCGUUUUGGAUUGAACUGACGACAUCAUCGUGAUGUAAGAGGGAUUUUGGCCCUUUUUUUUGAAGAACGAGCACUUGCAUAUUUAGAUUGUCGGUGUUCGAAGAAUUGAGCGUAACUUUUGUACACGAUUUCCGUUUUGGCCCCAUAAGUACUAUUCGAAAAUGUAGCGACCAUUUUGGAUUGAACUCACGGCAUCAUCGUGAAGUAUAAGAGGGAUUUCGACCAUUUUUUUUCGGAGAACGAGCACUUGCAUAUUUAGAUUGUCGACGUUCGAAGAAUUGAGCAUAACUUUUGUACACGGUGUCUGUUUUGGGCCCAUAAGUACUUUUCGAAAAUGUAACGACCAUUUUAGAUUGAACUCUCCGCUUUGCUGUGACGUAUGAGGGAUUUUGGAUGUUUGUAUUUUGAAGAACGAGCACUUGUAUAUUUAAAUUGAAGGCGUUCGAAAAAUUGAGCGUAACUUUAGCAUACGGUGUUCGUUUUAGGCCCAUAAGUACUUUUCGGAAAUGUAGGCACCGUUUUGGAU
Molecule: small RNA, 1476 nt
Filed under: Olea europaea subsp. europaea
Lineage: Eukaryota; Viridiplantae; Streptophyta; Magnoliopsida; Lamiales; Oleaceae
Source: RNAcentral